AGCGAACGCUGGCGGCAGGCUUAACACAUGCAAGUCGAACGGACACUUCGGUGUCAGUGGCGGACGGGUGAGUAACACGUGGGAACGUGCCCUUAGGUUCGGAACAACACAGGGAAACUUGUGCUAAUACCGGAUGUGCCCUUUUUGGGGAAAGAUUUAUCGCCUUUGGAGCGGCCCGCGUCUGAUUAGCUAGUUGGUGGGGUAAAGGCUCACCAAGGCUACGAUCAGUAGCUGGUCUGAGAGGAUGGCCAGCCACACUGGGACUGAGACACGGCCCAGACUCCUACGGGAGGCAGCAGUGGGGAAUCUUGCGCAAUGGGCGAAAGCCUGACGCAGCCAUGCCGCGUGGAUGAUGAAGGUCUUAGGAUUGUAAAAUCCUUUCAGCGGGGACGAUAAUGACGGUA
This 404-nucleotide ribosomal RNA is filed under the name uncultured bacterium. RNAcentral describes it as "bacterial SSU rRNA". It matches the Rfam family "Bacterial small subunit ribosomal RNA", at positions 29 to 477 of the family's 1533-position model. The record is from RNAcentral.